UGCGGAUGCUAACGCAAUGUGA
RNAcentral lists this small nuclear RNA (22 nucleotides) under Arabidopsis thaliana (thale cress). RNAcentral's name for it is "snRNA_01123". The record is from RNAcentral. Lineage: Eukaryota; Viridiplantae; Streptophyta; Magnoliopsida; Brassicales; Brassicaceae.